GACGAACGCUGGCGGCGUGCCUAAUACAUGCAAGUAGGACGCAGUUGCGUACGGGUUAGUAACGCGUCGGUCACUGCCUAUUGGAGGGGGAUAACUAUUGGAAACGAUAGCUAAUACCGCAUACUAGUAGAUGGACCUGGGUUGUAGUAGCUAGUCGGGAGGGUAAUGGCCUCCCUAGGUAAAGAUACAUAGCCGACCUGAGGGGGUGAUCGGCCACACUGGGACUGGGACACGGCCCAGACUCCUACGGGAGGCAGCAGUAGGGAAUCUUCGGCAAUGGGGGGAACCCUGGCCGAGCAACGCCGCGUGGGUGAAGAAGGGUUUCGGGUCGUAAAGCUCUGUUGUUAAGGAAGCGGUACUUAACCAGAAAGGAACGGCUAACUACGUGCCAGCCGCCGCGGUAAUAC
RNAcentral lists this ribosomal RNA (407 nucleotides) under uncultured bacterium. Its description in RNAcentral is "partial 16S ribosomal RNA". It matches the Rfam family "Bacterial small subunit ribosomal RNA", at positions 28 to 526 of the family's 1533-position model. The record is from RNAcentral.